UGACAUGCUAUGUUUAUGUGAAUGGAACCCU
Molecule: non-coding RNA, 31 nt
Filed under: Rattus norvegicus (Norway rat)
Lineage: Eukaryota; Metazoa; Chordata; Mammalia; Rodentia; Muridae
Source: RNAcentral